Molecule: ribosomal RNA, 467 nt
Filed under: uncultured bacterium
Lineage: Bacteria
Description: bacterial SSU rRNA
Rfam family: Bacterial small subunit ribosomal RNA
Source: RNAcentral
ACUACGCUGGCGGCGUGCCUAACACAUGCAAGUCAACGGUAACAUGUCUGUAGCAAUACAGAUGAUGACGAGUGGCGCACGGGUGAGUAAUACAUAAACAAUCUUCCCUUUAGACGGGAUAACUUUGGGAAACCAGGGCUAAUACCCGAUAAGUUCCUCGAAUGGCAUCAUUUGAGGAAGAAAUCCCGCAAGGGACUGAAGGAUGAGUUUGUGUCUGAUUAGCUAGUUGGUGAGGUAAUGGCUCACCAAGGCGAUGAUCAGUAGCUGGUCUGAGAGGAUGGUCAGCCACACUGGAACUGAGACACGGUCCAGACUCCUACGGGAGGCAGCAGUGAGGAAUUUUGCGCAAUGGGCGAAAGCCUGACGCAGCGACGCCGCGUGAACGAUGAAGUCCUUCGGGAUGUAAAGUUCUGUCAGCAGGGACAAUAAUGAUGGUACCUGCAGAGGAAGGCCCGGCAAACUAUGUG